UGCGGCUGCUGGAAGGGGCGGCUCCCCCAGACAUGUCAUCAAGCUCCGUGGCCCCUCUGCUCCCUUGCUACCCUGGACACUGGGAGCUGGUGCUGGCCCCAGCCUCAUUUUCUUCAGCCACACCUCAUUAGUCCUAAUGUGCUGAUUGGAAGACCAUAGGAAGGGGCGGGCAUGGGAGCAGAGCAGGCUCCCAGCCCCUCAGGGGCCUAGCAGUUGAUUGCCUCUGCCCUCCCUUCCUCUGGCAGAAAGCCAGGGAGCUGGAACUUUGUUAUCUGGGUAAUCUGCUUUAGAGCUUGGCCUCCCAGGUCUUAGGGCCACUUCCUAAAGGCUGUGCACCCUGACCCCAGGAAGGAGGAGAGGAGUUGCAGGUGCACAGCCCUGCUGGCUGAGCAGCUGGGACGCCAGGCUUGCCUGGGGAACGGCCGCACCACCCCUCGCCCUCCUCGCCCGGGCUGUGCUGGACCUGGGUACAGCGUAGGGCCUCCUGACCCAGCCUUGCCAGGGCAAAGGGCACCAAGCCUUGGAAAGGGGAUGCCCCCAAGAGUGCCAGUUCAGCCAGCUGCCCCACCCCUCAGGCCCAGCCUGGCCCCCAAGUCCCCCACUGAGGUGCCCCAAGAAGUCCUGUGGGCAGACGUCUCCCACCAUGGCCGAGCACCUGGAGCUGCUGGCAGAGAUGCCCAUGGUGGGCAGGAUGAGCACCCAGGAGCGGCUCAAACAUGCCCAGAAGCGCCGUGCCCAGCAGGUGAAGCUGUGGGCCCAGGCUGAGAGGGAGGCCCAGGGCAGGAAGGGCCCUGGCGAGCAGUCCCAGAAGGAGGCAGCCGGCCAGGGCCAGCAGAAGCAGGUUCUCUUCCCUCCCAGUGUCGUCCUUCUGGAGGCUGCUGCCCGGAGUGACCUGGAGGAAGUCCUCCAGCUCCUCAAGAGUGGGGUCAGCCCUGACCUGGCCAAUGAAGACGGCCUGACGGCGCUGCACCAGUGCUGCAUCGAUGACUUUCAAGAGAUGGUGCAGCAGCUCCUGGAAGCCGGGGCUGACGUUAAUGCUCGAGACAGUGAGUGCUGGACGCCGCUGCAUGCUGCAGCCACCUGUGGCCACCUGCAUCUUGUGGAGCUCCUCAUUUCCAGUGGUGCAGAUCUCCUGGCAGUAAACACUGAUGGAAAUAUGCCUUACGACCUGUGUGAGGAUGAGCAGACUCUGGACUGCCUGGAGACAGCCAUGGCUAACCGCGGUAUCACCCAAGAGAGCAUUGAGGAGGCCCGGGCAGUGCCAGAGCUUCACAUGCUGGAUGACCUCCAGAGUCUGCUGCAUGCUGGGGCUGACCUCAAUGAGCCCCUGGAUAAUGGGGCCACGCUGCUGCACAUCGCUGCUGCUAACGGGUUCAGUGAGGCAGCUGCCCUGCUGCUGGAGCACGGAGCCAGCCUGAGCGCCAAGGACCAGGAUGGCUGGGAGCCACUGCACGCCGCAGCGUACUGGGGCCAGGUGCACCUGGUGGAGCUGCUGGUGGCACUCGGCGCCGACCUGAAUGGAAAGUCGCUGCUGGAUGAGACGCCCCUAGACCUGUGUGGGGACGAGGAGGUGAGGGCGAAACUCUUGGAGCUGAAGCACAAGCAGGACGCACUCCUUCGAGCCCAGGGCCGGCAGCGCUCCCUGCUGCGCCGGCGGACCUCCAGUGCAGGCAGCCGCGGGAAAGUGGUAAGGCGAGUGAGCCUGACCCAGCGCACAAACCUGUACCGCAAGGAACACGCCCAGGAGGCCAUUGUGUGGCGGCAGCCACCACCCACCAGUCCUGAGUCACCUGAGGAAGACGAGGACCGUCAGACAGACGCUGAGCUCCGCCUGCAGCACCCAGAGGAGGACCCUAAGGACCCCAAGCCGGCCGGGACACACAAUGGCCGCGCAGGACUCCCCCCAGGAAGGCACCUGUACUCCAAGAGGCUGGACCGGAGCGUAUCCUACCAGUUGAGCCCACUGGAGAGUACUGCUCCUGACGCCGCUGUCCGGGACAGGGCUCACCACACCCUGGCACAGCUCAAGCGUCAGCGAGCUGCUGCCAAGCUGCAGCGGCCACCCUCCGAGGGGACUCAGGUCCCCGUGGUCAGCCUGCAGGACUCUGAGAACUCUCAGCCUGAUGGUGGCCCCAGGGCCGUGGGGGACCCACCUCUGCUCAGGCUCACAGCCCCCUGCGAGGAGGCCCCUGUGGAGAAGAGGCCAUGUUGUCUGCUCAUGUGAGGGGCUGAGGGACCCCCCGGCCGCUGCUCUGGAGCCCCCCGGGGGGACGUCCCCUGCUGCUGCUCUGGAGCCCCCCGGGGGGUCGUCCCCUGGUGCUGCUCUGGAGCCCCCCAGGGGGACGUCCCCUGGUGCUGCAGGGGACGGCCAGCACAGCGCCUCUCCUGGCUCCGGCUGCCCUCUCAGGGAUGGACCUGUGGGCUCGAAGGCCGCAAAGGCCGUUUGUCCUGAGACUUGAUAAAGGCUGCCUACCCCCAGGCCUUCCUGUGUGUCUCUGGGGAGGGGCAGGUGGUGCGUCUGGGUUAGGGGCCUCCAUGCCUGUGGGUGCAUGCUAGAGCUUGCAGGAGGCAGCCCAUGCCGCUGUGUGGGAGAACUUUAGACACAGGCGAGAAGCUUAGUCUCCAUCCACACCCUCCCUGGCUGCAAGCUGCUUCUUGUACGCUCCUUUCCUGGGGACAGCAGGGAAUGUUAGAACCAGGGCUGAAGGUGACCAAACAGCAUGGGGACUCCAGCCUGCCAGUGUUUCUCACAGGACUCUUGGGCUGGACAGCGAGCAGAACGGGAACAGGGCCAUCGCCAGACACUUCCCAGGGGGAUGGGUCCCCAGCCUGGCGUGCAACGUGACCUCGGGCCUGCUGCCGCCUCAGCCACCCAGCCAGGGUGGCACAGGGGACAAGCAGCCGGCCACUUGGGCAUGGCUGGCUGGCACAGUGUGGCCCCUUCG
Dipodomys ordii (Ord's kangaroo rat) is the source of this 2945-nucleotide RNA transcript. It is a transcript of the gene named protein phosphatase 1, regulatory subunit 16A, with no coding region annotated. The transcript has 11 exons. NCBI's taxonomy places the organism in Eukaryota, Metazoa, Chordata, Mammalia, Rodentia, Heteromyidae. The record is from RefSeq and is a predicted model, not a curated record.